This 481-nucleotide ribosomal RNA is filed under the name uncultured bacterium. Its description in RNAcentral is "partial 16S ribosomal RNA". It matches the Rfam family "Bacterial small subunit ribosomal RNA", at positions 30 to 506 of the family's 1533-position model. The record is from RNAcentral.
AUUGAACGCUGGCGGCAUGCCUUACACAUGCAAGUCGAACGGUAACAGGUCUUCGGAUGCUGACGAGUGGCGAACGGGUGAGUAAUACAUCGGAACGUGCCCAGACGUGGGGGAUAACGAGGCGAAAGCUUUGCUAAUACCGCAUACGAUCUAAGGAUGAAAGCAGGGGACCGCAAGGCCUUGCGCGUUUGGAGCGGCCGAUGGCAGAUUAGGUAGUUGGUGGGAUAAAAGCUUACCAAGCCGACGAUCUGUAGCUGGUCUGAGAGGACGACCAGCCACACCGGGGCUGGGCCGCGCCCCAGCCCCCUACGGGAGGCGCCGGGGGGAAUUUUUGACCAAGGGGCAAAAGCUCGUCCCACCAAUGCCGCGUGCGGGAUGACGGCCUUGGGGUUGUAAACUCUUUUUUUGCGGAACGAAAAGGCUCUGGCUAAUCCCUGGGGCCCCUGCCGGUACCUAAAGAAUAAGCCCCGGCUACCUACGU